GAUGAACGCUGGCGGCGUGCCUAAUACAUGCAAGUCGAGCGAACGGACGAGAAGCUUGCUUCUCUGAUGUUAGCGGCGGACGGGUGAGUAACACGUGGAUAACCUCCCUAUAAGACUGGGAUAACUUCGGGAAACCGGAGCUAAUACCGGAUAAUAUUUUGAACCGCAUGGUUCAAAAGUGAAAGACGGUCUUGCUGUCACUUAUAGAUGGAUCCGCGCUGCAUUAGCUAGUUGGUAAGGUAACGGCUUACCAAGGCAACGAUGCAUAGCCGACCUGAGAGGGUGAUCGGCCACACGGGAACGGAGACACGGUCCAGACUCCUACGGGAGGCAGCAGUAGGGAAUCUGCCGCAAUGGGCGAAAGCCUGACGGAGCAAGGCCGCGUGAGUGAUGAAGGUCUUCGGAUCGUAAAACUCUGUUAUUAGGGAAGAACAUAUGUGUAAGUAACUGUGCACAUCGUGACGGUACCUAAUCAGAAAGCCACGGCUAACUACGUG
RNAcentral lists this ribosomal RNA (497 nucleotides) under uncultured bacterium. RNAcentral describes it as "partial 16S ribosomal RNA". It matches the Rfam family "Bacterial small subunit ribosomal RNA", at positions 28 to 507 of the family's 1533-position model. The record is from RNAcentral.